CCCACUGAUAACCACUAGCUUGCUGUCCAUGUCUGUACAUCUGCUUCUUCUUUGUUGUUUUCACUGGUUUGUGGUUCUCUUUUGUGACCUCACCACCUCUGUUCCUCUGUACCCCAGUCACUCUGUCAACCGAGGUCUCGCCCUCUGGCCGUCACUAUGAAGUGUCCCUCCUCUGCACAGAGGCAUCCUUCUGACCCCGCCCUGGCCCUUUCUCGCUGGACCAGUCACAGCACAGGCAGGUCACCAAGGCACAGUUCCCCUGAGUGGGGCUAACAUUCUAUUAUUAAUAUGUAGACCCCUAAUCAGACAAGCUGUAUCUACAAUUUCAUCCAGCAUCCCCGCUCCCUGACCAGGGAUUGAACCUGCACCUGCUGCAUUUGAAGGCCAAGAGAAAUCACUCCAGGCUGACCCCACGCUAAUUACUGAGGUUCACAGUCCUAGGAAUUGCAAAGGACGAAAACAGACAACUGCACAGAACCUUGAUGCCUUGAUUCACCCAAGAAUCUCCACAUCCACAUAAGGAUCAGAUUUUGUGAUUUCCACUGUAGUGCUACGACCUCGAGGCUCACACCUCUGAAGAAGUGGCCAGGAUUUCCGGCACCAGAGACCGCUGUGGGCUUUUUCCUCAAGUUACCCAGCAGAUCUUCAGAGCAUGAGAACUGGGCUUCUUUUCUGUGGUAAGGCCAAAGUUCAGAUGCAACCCAGCCCAAAGGUUCAAGAGAACAAAAGGAAGUGCACAAGGCCUCUUAAGGUCUAGACUUGAAACGGGCUUUCUGCCACUUCUGCUGCAUCCUUUUGGCCAGAGCAAAUCACAGGCUGACCUGUUCAGAGUGAAACUCUGAGGUUAGAAAGCAAAAGGUGCAGCUACAGGGAACCAUUAACCGGGGACUUCAAUUGCAGUUGGUCAACCCCAGAGAGACAAACAACCUAUUUUUUUAAAGUCACAGCACCAUCAUCUGUAACCUGAGAGUCCGCCUGGAUGCCCAGCAGUAUACCUGUGUCUCGCUCCUGUUUCCAAAACUAAAAGGAAGAAGCACUGUCCCCACGUAAACACAUCCCCACCUCCAUCCAGCCUCUCUGCUGCUUGAGCUUUUUUCCAUCUUGGACCUGGCCUUUGGUGGAGAAAAGGAUCCUGGCGAGCAUGACUGUCACUAUACUGUGCGUACAGUGACCAGCCUUUGGCAGCAGGGAAAUGCGACACUUCAGGGACUCCAAAAUAAAAGCCAAUGUACAAUGUCCCUAUUGAUAAUGCCUUUUUUUUUUUUUUUUUGGCAAUGACAUUUUUGAAAAAGCAGUUAUUUGUCUUCAGAAGACUUGCGAAUGGUUUUCCAUUUGAAGCCAAGUGAGUGUCCUAAUUUGCCUUUAACUGAGAACAUUUAAAAAACUGAAGAUUUUUAGAAAAAUUAUAUUGAGGCCUUCUGUUAUGGGCUGAACGGUUCCCCCUCCCUUCCCCCCAGUUUCAUAGGCUGACGUCCUAACCCCCAGUACCUGCGAAUGUGACUUUAUCUGGAGAUAUGGUCUUUAAAGAGAUAAUUAUUAACAAGUUAAAGGGAGGUCAUUAGGGUGGGCCCUAAUCUGAUGUGACUAGUGUCCUAUGGGGAGAGGAGGUUAGGACACAGACAUGUAUGGAGGAAAGACCACGUGAAGACAUGGAAAGACAGAGGCCUUCUGCAAGGCAAGAAGAGAAGUUUCAGGAGAAACCAGUGCUGCCGCCAUAUUCAUCUCGGACUUCUAACGGUCAGAACUGUCAGGACAUGAACUUCUUUUAUUUAAACCACCGAGGCUGUGGUACAUUAUUAUAGCAGUCCUAGCAAACUCAUAGACUCCCUGAGAUGUUGAUGGCUUUGGGUCCUUUUUUUGACUAGAAUGGCUCACUUUUGAGUGCACACAAGUUUUCUUGUCAAAGUGUGAGGCUGCCAGGGCUAAAAGGUGGCCCGGACCUAAGUUUUGGUUACCCCUGAAAUGGUAAGAUUCCCCGCCCCCAUCGGGCCGCCUGGAGCCAGCCAAUCAACAGGCGCCCAAAAGGGAACAAAGGGAACAUGAGGGAAAGCAGAAAAGCCUGCGAAUGCCUAAGUUUGAACAAAAGCCCAUGAAAGUUUGUACCAAUAAAAUUGCUUUGUAAACAUGUAACCAAUCCGCUUAAGCCAGCUACCAACUGCUUAUGU
Molecule: long non-coding RNA, 2165 nt
Organism: Dama dama (fallow deer)
Lineage: Eukaryota; Metazoa; Chordata; Mammalia; Artiodactyla; Cervidae
Exons: 5
Source: RefSeq, a predicted model, not a curated record